This 429-nucleotide ribosomal RNA is filed under the name Gemmatimonadota bacterium. RNAcentral describes it as "Gemmatimonadetes bacterium partial 16S ribosomal RNA". It matches the Rfam family "Bacterial small subunit ribosomal RNA", at positions 355 to 776 of the family's 1533-position model. Lineage: Bacteria; Pseudomonadati; Gemmatimonadota. The record is from RNAcentral.
UAGGGAAUCUUCGGCAAUGGACGAAAGUCUGACCGAGCAACGCCGCGUGAGUGAAGAAGGUUUUCGGAUCGUAAAACUCUGUUGUUAGAGAAGAACAAGGACGUUAGUAACUGAACGUCCCCUGACGGUAUCUAACCAGAAAGCCACGGCUAACUACGUGCCAGCAGCCGCGGUAAUACGUAGGUGGCAAGCGUUGUCCGGAUUUAUUGGGCGUAAAGCGAGCGCAGGCGGUUUCUUAAGUCUGAUGUGAAAGCCCCCGGCUCAACCGGGGAGGGUCAUUGGAAACUGGGAGACUUGAGUGCAGAAGAGGAGAGUGGAAUUCCAUGUGUAGCGGUGUAAUGCGUAGAUAUAUGGAGGAACACCAGUGGCGAAGGCGGCUCUCUGGUCUGUAACUGACGCUGAGGCUCGAAGGCGUGGGGAGCAAACAGG